RNAcentral lists this ribosomal RNA (466 nucleotides) under uncultured bacterium. RNAcentral's name for it is "partial 16S ribosomal RNA". It matches the Rfam family "Bacterial small subunit ribosomal RNA", at positions 28 to 505 of the family's 1533-position model. The record is from RNAcentral.
GACGAACGCUGGCGGCGUGCUUAACACAUGCAAGUCGAACGGAAAGGCCCUGCUUUUGUGGGGUGCUCGAGUGGCGAACGGGUGAGUAACACGUGAGUAACCUGCCCUUGACUUUGGGAUAACUUCAGGAAACUGGGGCUAAUACCGGAUAGGAGCUCCUGCUGCAUGGUGGGGGUUGGAAAGUUUCGGCGGUUGGGGAUGGACUCGCGGCUUAUCAGCUUGUUGGUGGGGUAGUGGCUUACCAAGGCUUUGACGGGUAGCCGGCCUGAGAGGGUGACCGGCCACAUUGGGACUGAGAUACGGCCCAGACUCCUACGGGAGGCAGCAGUGGGGAAUAUUGCACAAUGGGCGGAAGCCUGAUGCAGCAACGCCGCGUGCGGGAUGACGGCCUUCGGGUUGUAAACCGCUUUCGCCUGUGACGAAGGGUGAGUGACGGUAAGGGGUAAAGAGGCACCGGCUAACUACG